UAAGGAAUAUUGGUCAAUGGACGCAAGUCUGAACCAGCCAUGCCGCAUGAAGGAUUAAGGCCCUCUGGGUUGUAAACUUCUUUUAUAGGGGAAGAAAUGUGACGGUUCUCCGUCACUUGACGGUACCCUGGGAAUAAGCACCGGCUAACUCCGUGCCAGCAGCCGCGGUAAUACGGAGGGUGCGAGCGUCACCCGGAUUUACUGGGUGUAAAGGGCGUGUAGGCGGUUUCUCAAGUCCGAUGCUAAAGACCGAAGCUCAACUUCGGGAGGGCGUUGGAUACUGUGAGGCUAGACGGUCGGAGAGGGUAGCGGAAUUUCCUGAGUAGCGGUGAAAUGCGCAGAUACAGGAAGGAACGCCAAUAGCGAAAGCAGCUACCUGGACGAUUUGUGACGCUGAGGCGCGAAAGCGUGGGGAGCAAACC
RNAcentral lists this ribosomal RNA (422 nucleotides) under uncultured bacterium. Its description in RNAcentral is "bacterial SSU rRNA". It matches the Rfam family "Bacterial small subunit ribosomal RNA", at positions 355 to 774 of the family's 1533-position model. The record is from RNAcentral.